RNAcentral lists this ribosomal RNA (467 nucleotides) under uncultured Rhodocyclaceae bacterium. Its description in RNAcentral is "bacterial SSU rRNA". It matches the Rfam family "Bacterial small subunit ribosomal RNA", at positions 917 to 1381 of the family's 1533-position model. The record is from RNAcentral. Lineage: Bacteria; Pseudomonadati; Pseudomonadota; Betaproteobacteria; Rhodocyclales; Rhodocyclaceae.
GACGGGACCGCACAAGCGGUGGAUGAUGUGGAUUAAUUCGAUGCAACGCGAAAACUUACCUACCCUUGACAUGUCCGGAAUCCCGAAGAGAUUUGGGAGUGCUCGCAAGAGAACCGGAACACAGGUGCUGCAUGGCUGUCGUCAGCUCGUGUCGUGAGAUGUUGGGUUAAGUCCCGCAACGAGCGCAACCCUUGUCAUUAGUUGCCAUCAUUUGGUUGGGCACUCUAAUGAGACUGCCGGUGACAAACCGGAGGAAGGUGGGGAUGACGUCAAGUCCUCAUGGCCCUUAUGGGUAGGGCUUCACACGUCAUACAAUGGUCGGUACAGAGGGUUGCCAACCCGCGAGGGGGAGCUAAUCCCACAAAGCCGAUCGUAGUCCGGACCGCAGUCUGCAACUCGACUGCGUGAAGUCGGAAUCGCUAGUAAUCGUGGAUCAGCAUGUCACGGUGAAUACGUUCCCGGGUCUU